RNA transcript from Homarus americanus (American lobster), 3437 nucleotides. It is a transcript of the gene named serine/arginine-rich splicing factor 2-like, with no coding region annotated. The transcript has 6 exons. NCBI's taxonomy places the organism in Eukaryota, Metazoa, Arthropoda, Malacostraca, Decapoda, Nephropidae. The record is from RefSeq and is a predicted model, not a curated record.
UUGUCGGGGUGAGGAGAUGUGAUGGUGGACGCCGCGCCAUAAUCCAUCCUAUAUCAUCCAUCUGUGCCGCGUUAAACCAGCCGGAGUGAUCUAAUACCCCUACCUAGUGAAGGAAAACCCGUACGACACCCUAAUAAACGUUCCCAAGUCCCUAUAUAGCUUCCAGGAACGUCGAAAUAACCACAGGAACCAUGAGUUACGGACGCGGACCUCCUGACAUCAAGGGCAUGACGUCUCUUAAAGUGGAUAAUUUGACCUAUAGGACGACACCCGAGGAUCUACGUCGUUCCUUUGAGAAAUAUGGCGAGAUAGGCGACGUGUACAUCCCCAGAGACAGAUUCUCCCGUGAGAGUCGUGGAUUUGCCUUCGUCAGGUAUUAUGACCGGCGGGAUGCAGAGGACGCAAUGGAAGCCAUGGACGGUAGACGCCUGGAUGGCCGGGAGCUGCGCGUACAGAUGGCCCGCUAUGGCCGGCCGGAAACGCCCCCACACCGCAGACGGCGAAGACGGGAUAAUUCCAGGUCACGAUCGAGGUCACGUUCAAGGUCAAGGUCGCGGAGGAGAAGUCGGAGGUCGCGUUCGAGGUCGCGGUCUCGUUCGAGGUCACGCAGGCGCCAUUCUAGGUCCAGGUCCGGCAGUCGUUCACGCUCUCGUUCGAGGUCACACUCUGGAAGCAAGAGCCGUUCCCGCACCCCAGACGAGCGCCAAUCAAAAUCGCCCGAGAAACAGGAUAAGGAGAAUGGGAUGGACGAGUCGGCCGCCGUAGAGGAGGAACAGCAGCAGCAGAUGGGCCGAUCUAGGUCCCACUCCAAGUCGCGGUCCAGGUCUCGUUCCAGGUCCAAGUCAAGGUCUCGGUCCAAGUCCCGCAGCAAGUCGAGAUCCAGGUCACGCUCCAGGUCGAUGGAGUAAGGAAGGGAACGCUAUCGAGCUACAGUGGGACAUCAGCAUCUUGGCUCCUUCCUCCCCUCCUCCUCACCUCUCCUCCCCCACCCACCACCCUAACCCUAAAGGCGGCAGCGGCGUGGGUAAACACACCCCCCCCACCCCAUCGCUGGAACUAGAUGGGCCCUCACUUGCCCUGUCCAGAUAUUUGCAGUACUAUUGGCAUACUGGGCAGGGCGUGGCAGUUGUUGCUGUUGUGUUGCUGUGGAGUGUUGCUGUAGUGCGGUGUAAUGGAGCCGAGGCAGAGCCAGUCAGUCAGGCAGGCAUGCAGCCGACGGGGGGGCCGCAGUACUCACUCGCAGGGCACCAUUCUUCUCUCUCACUCACACACCACACAUGCUUACUCCCCCCCCUCGUACUGUCUCACACACACAUCCUCACCUCCCUCAUCAUUAACUCAGCUCCCCAUCCCUCGCCAAUCUCCUCCUCCUCGUUACAACACACACCUUGCCCCUCCUCCCCCCUUACUUCUCUCACACACGACCUCCCUGCCUCCUCCAUCCUGUUAAAAUCCUUAUCGUCUCGGCCUCACACCUCCACAGGGAGUCCAAACAACCUGAGAUUAAAGCGGACUAUCAAGCGGCCCAAUUAGGGAUCACCGUGAGCCCAGACAUCGCUUUUAGUCUACCUUAAACACGAGAACUAUUGUGUCUGGGCUUAGUUAGGUAAUAUUGUCGAGUUAAACACACACACACUUAACUACCGAAACUACUGAAUUGUCUUGUUCUCCUGACUGUUGACUCUCUGGUGCCCUGGGAUGCGACUGUGCAACUGCGUGCGGUCACCUUGCUAUGGUGACUUGCUGCAGCUGUGGCGACCCUUGCAACGCUAAGAAGGGGGGGGUGGGGGGCCGGGUGUUGGGCGGCGGCUUGUAUUGGCUACCUACGUGCAGGUUAUGUUAGCGGAUCAGUCAUAGUGAAGGGGGAGGGGAGUUCAUGGGGCUAAUUAUUUUAUUCAUUUAUUUAUUUUUUUUAAUGUGCAGUAAAAACUCCAUCCUGUGCACCAUCCAAGACUAUAGGCCCCCAUGGCUCGGAGCUCUGUAUUCUAUUGCCCAACCGCGUCGUUUCCCCGCUAACCACCAGUUGCAUUAAUUACUUAGGAACCGUUUAGUUAAUUUUAUCAUUUUUAAUUUUAAUUUUUUCCCUUGGGGUUGUCUCUAUUCCUGGGUCAGCGGGUCAAUGACGCGUUGGCCGAGUAUUUAUACAGAGCUCCGACGUCGAGGCGUUGAUGAUUACUGAGAAGAAGGUGACUCUUUUAUUAACUUUGAUAAUAUAUAGAGCUAUUUGAAGUAAUAUAUAAAGCCUACUGGAUCAUACUAUAUAUUUAUGUGUUGAUAUAUGAUACAGUAUCGUGUGUAUAUAAUGGACCAGAUGUUAUGUGGUCUGUUAUAUAUGAAAAAUAGUACAGUACAUGGCAGACUACACGAGAGAGAGGGUAGUCCGUUAUAUAUUAAAACCUCCUUAUAACGGACACUGAUGAGGUUAGAUCGGUGUUCAUUAUAAGGAGGCUUCGCUGUAUAUAUAUAUAUUGAUUCAGGUAUUGGGUUUCUGAGCUUAAUUAAUUACUUCUUUUACAGGGAGUGCAUCGCAGUGUUAACUUAAUGUUUUUUAUGUAUUGUACAGCAUUCAUUUCCUCUUCUUCAUGCUGAUUGGGUGGUUUAAUCUCGCCCAUUGCGUUCUAUUAUAGUUCGAUUCUGUCAACGUCUGUAGCACCACGUGGGUCUUUUACAGGACUGGAUUAUUUACCAGACUUCGUAUCUCAUUAACCAAGUGUCAGUCUCUAGCCAACGAUGUCUAUAAGUUUUGGGGUCCAUUGUAUUUAGCCGAUUUUUACGCAAUAUAUAAACAAUUUCCUCAUUUGUGUGAUUUUUCAGAGAAUAUUUUAUGGGGGUUGACGGCUGUGGAAUUGUAUAUUGAAGUGUGGGCCAUUAAUAAAACUCUCAAGUGUACAAAUGGCCAGUUAUGGGCGAUGGCUUGUCGUCGGACGUCCUGUGUUUGAUCUGGGGAAUGUCAAGUUAAUCCCAGCGUCUAGUUUGCUGGAGUAGGCGACAAUGGUGGAUUAGUUAUAUACGAAUUAAUUUGAGAACGUAUUUCUUACAGGUUGUGGUUGUGUAGUAGGAAGGAGGAUUACAGGUUAUAAAUGUGAUUGUAGAACGAUUUAUAGCAAGUCAAAUUAUGGUUAUUAUUAUUAUUAUUAUUUAAACAACUCCCGUCAGAAGUCACUCGGGAUAUGAUGAGAAUUGAGAUAGAAUUUACAAAAAAAAAACAGCCUUUUGAUGAGAAUUUUCCAGUGCUAUUUUUGUCCAUUGAGUCUCUUGGUAUACUGUAUACAUAAUGACACAUGGCUGUAUUCUAUGUAUCGUGUCAUUAUACAUAGAUUCCAUUCAUAGUUAUGUGAAUUUUUUUUUUUUUAUCAAGACGAAGAAUUUAUUCAAGAGGAAAUUUGUCCGUUUGGUAAGUAUGUCGUUACUUUUGACUCAAUAAAUAAAUGAAAAUA